Molecule: ribosomal RNA, 660 nt
Filed under: uncultured Actinomycetes bacterium
Lineage: Bacteria; Bacillati; Actinomycetota; Actinomycetes
Description: SSU rRNA
Rfam family: Bacterial small subunit ribosomal RNA
Source: RNAcentral
CUUGUUGGUGGGGUGAUGGCCUACCAAGGCGAGGACGGGUAGCCGGCCUGAGAGGGCGACCGGCCACACUGGGACUGAGACACGGCCCAGACUCCUACGGGAGGCAGCAGUGGGGAAUAUUGCACAAUGGGCGCAAGCCUGAUGCAGCGACGCCGCGUGGGGGAUGACGGCCUUCGGGUUGUAAACCUCUUUCAGUUCCGACGAAGCGCAAGUGACGGUAGGAACAGAAGAAGGACCGGCCAACUACGUGCCAGCAGCCGCGGUGAUACGUAGGGUCCGAGCGUUGUCCGGAAUUAUUGGGCGUAAAGGGCUUGUAGGCGGUUAGUCACGUCGGAAGUGAAAUCUCAGGGCUCAACCCUGAGCCUGCUUCCGAUACGGGCAAACUAGAGGGAUGCAGGGGAGAACGGAAUUCCUGGUGGAGCGGUGGAAUGCGCAGAUAUCAGGAGGAACACCGGUGGCGAAGGCGGUUCUCUGGGCAUUUCCUGACGCUGAGAAGCGAAAGCGUGGGGAGCAAACAGGCUUAGAUACCCUGGUAGUCCACGCCGUAAACGGUGGGCACUAGGUGUGGGGGACAUUCCACGUUCUCCGUGCCGAAGCUAACGCAUUAAGUGCCCCGCCUGGGGAGUACGGCCGCAAGGCUAAAACUCAAAGGAAUUGACG